UUUUCUUGUUAGUUUUUGAAGUAUGGUCUGCCCGCUGAUUGAAGGGCCGCGGUAUUUUGACCGUGCAAAGGUAGCAUAAUCAUUAGUUCUUUAAUUGUGAUCUGGUAUGAAUGGCUUGACGAGGCAUGGUCUGUCUUUUUGAAUUUGGUUUUUGAGUUAAAAUUCUUAAAUGUUUUUAUGGGACGAGAAGACCCUAUAGAGUUUUACAUUCGGUUCUUUUGUUUGUUUUUAUUGAUGCUUUUGUUUUGUUGGGGUGAUGGGAGGAAUUUUCUUAACUCCUCUUUAUUGGUAUAUUAUUUGUAUAUGUUUUGAUCCAUUUAUUUUGAUUAUAAGAUUAAAUUACCUUAGGGAUAACAGCGUUAUCCUCCUUGAGAGUUCUUAUUGGCGGGAGGGUUUGCGACCUCGAUGUUGGAUUAAGAUUAAUUUUUGGUGUAGGAGCUGAAUUGAUUGGGUCUGUUCGACCUUUAAAAUCUU
This 474-nucleotide ribosomal RNA is filed under the name Macrotermes herus. RNAcentral's name for it is "partial 16S ribosomal RNA". It matches the Rfam family "Bacterial large subunit ribosomal RNA", at positions 1832 to 2597 of the family's 2925-position model. Lineage: Eukaryota; Metazoa; Arthropoda; Insecta; Blattodea; Termitidae. The record is from RNAcentral.